AUUUUUUUAGUAUAUUUGUACAAUUUCCCUCCAAGAAAAAAGUUUGUUUACUCAAAAAAAAUA
This 63-nucleotide transfer RNA is filed under the name Clavisyllis tenjini. RNAcentral's name for it is "tRNA-Gly". The record is from RNAcentral. Lineage: Eukaryota; Metazoa; Annelida; Polychaeta; Phyllodocida; Syllidae.